UUAUCGGAGAGUUUGAUCCUGGCUCAGGACGAACGCUGGCGGCGUGCCUAAUACAUGCAAGUCGAGCGGAUUGAUGGGAGCUUGCUCCUUGAUAUCAGCGGCGGACGGGUGAGUAACACGUGGGUAACCUGCCUGUAAGACUGGGAUAACUCCGGGAAACCGGGGCUAAUACCGGAUAACUCAUUUCCUCGCAUGAGGAAAUGUUGAAAGAUGGCUUCUUGCUACCACUUACAGAUGGACCCGCGGCGCAUUAGCUAGUUGGUGAGGUAACGGCUCACCAAGGCAACGAUGCGUAGCCGACCUGAGAGGGUGAUCGGCCACACUGGGACUGAGACACGGCCCAGACUCCUACGGGAGGCAGCAGUAGGGAAUCUUCCGCAAUGGACGAAAGUCUGACGGAGCAACGCCGCGUGAGUGAUGAAGGUUUUCGGAUCGUAAAGCUCUGUUGUUAGGGAAGAACAAGUGCCG
RNAcentral lists this non-coding RNA (468 nucleotides) under Rossellomorea vietnamensis. Its description in RNAcentral is "Bacillus vietnamensis Bacterial small subunit ribosomal RNA". It matches the Rfam family "Bacterial small subunit ribosomal RNA", at positions 1 to 458 of the family's 1533-position model. The record is from Rfam by way of RNAcentral. Lineage: Bacteria; Bacillati; Bacillota; Bacilli; Caryophanales; Bacillaceae.